This 1806-nucleotide unclassified non-coding RNA is filed under the name Hevea brasiliensis (rubber tree). The record is from RNAcentral. Lineage: Eukaryota; Viridiplantae; Streptophyta; Magnoliopsida; Malpighiales; Euphorbiaceae.
UUGCAAAAGCAGUUCCUCAGUAGAACUUGAAAACAUGUGAUAUAAGUAACCUUGAACCAAAAACAGAUAUGCAGAAAUUUGAUUUAGACACUCAACGGAAAUAGAACUGAAUUCGUAAAUCAAAAUUGUCAAUAACUUAAAUUUGACAAAAACUGAAAUAUUUCAUUGUAUGCUAGGUAACUACCAUCACAAACUGGAAAAAAAUUUCUUCCAAGGCGUAUGAACGAAAUAAAUGAAACUGCAGUCCCCACAAUUCAACUAGCUUCUUUAGCUAAAAUAUACCGUUAAGUCUCUCAAAUUUCCAACCAUUCAAAUAAGUCAUUUUCCAUCUUUUUUAGCAUAAAAUUGUCAAAAGCAAAGAAGUAACAAAUUAAUAAUAUUAACAAAAGAAGACAAAGAAGAACAUUGCAAGUAAUCCUGUCAAAGCAUCAUGGCAUCAAGUUUUUUGCAAUGUUCUGUUCCCCAUAGGUCUUAGCAAAGCAGCAGAAUUUACGCUGGCAACACAUUUAUAUUGCAAUAAUUCAAGCCUGCUGUAACAGUUAGUCUUUAAUUACAAAAUCUGCCUUUUUUAUCAACCAGUGAUACGUUAUUUUUAAAUAAAUUUAGCCAAAAACCAAGCUUAAUAUGAAAUGGUAAUGAUUCACAAAAUAACUUGGAUGAGGCAACUUAAAAAAUGGUGAUUGAAGGUGAUCCUAAAAUAACAACAAGAAUAAAGAAAUCUAUACUCUGAACUCAACUAUCUCCAAAAAUUUCAUGUAACUGUAAUGCCAUUGUGGAAGGAAAUGCAAGUCAUGAUAAAGUUUUAUUUGUUUCAUAUUACAAAAAGCAGAGCCAUUAUCCGCAAAGAACGUAUGCAUGCAAACUUGGCAUCCCUUCUAUACCAUUCUUGUAUCUCAAUAACACUCAUAAAAAAAACUACAUAACUUGUCUAAUACAGAAAGCCAUAAUUUACAAGAACAUCCUAUAGAACUCUCGCCUAUUGAUAAGAAAAAGUGCCUAGAUUAGUGAACAUCAUAACAUUUAUAACACUUAUGACUUAACAACUGUUUGAGGGACUAAUUUAUAUUUUAAACACUACAAGUUUUGUCCAAAAACCAACAUGAUGCAUGUUAGAAGAGAAAUUAACAGUAGGUGUAGAUAUUUGGCAUAAAUCUAUAACAAAUACUACAUUCAGCCUUCCAAUAUUUAUGACCUUGAUGUUAUAAGUAUAAAACCUAACAGGCAUUUCCUGUUUCAUUAUGAAGGAUAAACCACAGAGCCUAUGGCAAGUUCUCACUCCUCAGGCUAUAUCAAAGACAUAAACCAGGUGAAAUUGUCCUUCUGGGCCUACAAACAACGUAAGAUAGAGAUAGAGAAGCCAAUGUAGCCUCUAAUCAAGCGACCACUCAUAAAUCCCUAAAAUCCAGAAAUCAAAAUUUUAACAAAUUAUUGAUUAUUACUUCAUAAGGAUACACCAAUGUUCAAAACGCCACCUCCAAAUGAAUUUUCUAUACAAAAGAAUCACGGAAAGAUAAAAAGAAAAAUUACAACUCUAGUUAUGGGCACAAAUGCAAACAAAUCACAAAAAAUACCUCCGCCUUCUAUAUGUUCAAUUUACUUCUAUGGUCUUAAAUCAUAUGGAAUUUGCACAAUUCUGCAAAGUAGGAGAAACUGCAGAAGCAGAGGAAGAAGGGGAAGUAGAAGUGGUAGUAGCAGUACAAAAACUCCGAAUUCGAAUGCCAUGUUCUUUCCUAUUUUUCAUUACAUGUACCUCUAACUGGCGGAGGGUGUCGAUAAGGAGCAAUUGCUUCUGCUUGAGCAGCACAA